Molecule: ribosomal RNA, 458 nt
Filed under: uncultured bacterium
Lineage: Bacteria
Description: partial 16S ribosomal RNA
Rfam family: Bacterial small subunit ribosomal RNA
Source: RNAcentral
CCUACGGGCGGCAGCAGUGGGGAAUAUUGCACAAUGGGCGAAACCCUGAUGCAGCGACGCCGCGUGAGUGUAGAUGUACUUCGGGAGGUAAAGCUCUAUCAGCAGGGAAGAAAUAUCGACCUUUGGGUCGCCAGACGGUAACCGUUCAAGUAGGCCUGGCUAACUACGGGCCAGAAGCCGCCGUUAGACGUAGGGGGCAAGCGUUAUCCGGAUUUACUGGGUGUAAGGGGAGCGUUGACGGCAGCGAAAGUUUGAAGUGAAAUGCCGCGGCUUAACCCCGGAACUGCGCUGGAGACUGUGCAGCUAGAGUGCAGGAGAGGUAAGUGGAAUUCGUGGUGUAGCGGUGAAAUGCGUAGAUAUUAGGAGGAACACCAGUGGCGAAGGCGGCUUACUGGACUGUAACUGACGUUGAGGCUCGAAAGCGUGGGGAGCAAACAGGAUUAGAUACCCGGGUAGUC